Molecule: transfer RNA, 59 nt
Filed under: Lacticaseibacillus paracasei
Lineage: Bacteria; Bacillati; Bacillota; Bacilli; Lactobacillales; Lactobacillaceae
Description: tRNA-Pro(cgg)
Rfam family: tRNA
About the family: Transfer RNA (tRNA) molecules are approximately 80 nucleotides in length. Their secondary structure includes four short double-helical elements and three loops (D, anti-codon, and T loops).
Source: RNAcentral
AGCUCAGCUUGGUAGAGCACUACGUUCGGGACGUAGGGGUCGCAAGUUCGAAUCUUGUC